RNAcentral lists this ribosomal RNA (551 nucleotides) under uncultured bacterium. RNAcentral describes it as "bacterial SSU rRNA". It matches the Rfam family "Bacterial small subunit ribosomal RNA", at positions 746 to 1295 of the family's 1533-position model. The record is from RNAcentral.
CUGAGGCGCGAAAGCGUGGGGAGCGAUCCGGAUUAGAUACCCGGGUAGUCCACGCCGUAAACGAUGGGCACUAGGUGUCGGGGGUAUCGACCCCCUCGGUGCCGGCGCUAACGCAAUAAGUGCCCCGCCUGGGGAGUACGGCCGCAAGGCUGAAACUCAAAGGAAUUGACGGGGGCCCGCACAAGCGGUGGAGCAUGUGGUUUAAUUCGAAGCAACGCGAAGAACCUUACCAGGUCUUGACAUCCUCUGACACUCCUAGAGAUAGGACUUUCCCCUUCGGGGGACAGAGUGACAGGUGGUGCAUGGUUGUCGUCAGCUCGUGUCGUGAGAUGUUGGGUUAAGUCCCGCAACGAGCGCAACCCUUGAUCUUAGUUGCCAGCAUUAGGUUGGGCACUCUAAGGUGACUGCCGGUGACAAACCGGAGGAAGGUGGGGAUGACGUCAAAUCAUCAUGCCCCUUAUGACCUGGGCUACACACGUGCUACAAUGGAUGGUACAAAGGGCAGCAAAACCGCGAGGUCGAGCCAAUCCCAUAAAACCAUUCUCAGUUCG